AAUGAACGCUGGCGGCAUGCCUAACACAUGCAAGUCGAACGAAGGCUUCGGCCUUAGUGGCGCACGGGUGCGUAACGCGUGGGAAUCUGCCCUUGGGUUCGGAAUAACAGUUAGAAAUGACUGCUAAUACCGGAUGAUGUCGUAAGACCAAAGAUUUAUCGCCCAUGGAUGAGCCCGCGUAGGAUUAGCUAGUUGGUGGGGUAAAGGCCCACCAAGGCGACGAUCCUUAGCUGGUCUGAGAGGAUGAUCAGCCACACUGGGACUGGGACACGGCCCAACCUCCUACGGGAGGCAGCAGUGGGGAAUAUUGGACAAUGGGCGAAAGCCUGAUCCAGCAAUGCCGCGUGAGUGAUGAAGGCCUUAGGGUUGUAAAGCUCUUUUACCCGGGAUGAUAAUGACAGUACCGGGAGAAUAAGCUCCGGCUAACUUCGUGCCAGCCGCCGCCGUAA
Molecule: ribosomal RNA, 449 nt
Filed under: uncultured bacterium
Lineage: Bacteria
Description: partial 16S ribosomal RNA
Rfam family: Bacterial small subunit ribosomal RNA
Source: RNAcentral